UCCAGACUCCUACGGGAGGCAGCAGUGGGGAAUAUUGCACAAUGGGGGAAACCCUGAUGCAGCAACGCCGUGUGAGUGAAGAAGCGUUUCGGCGCGUAAAGCUCUGUCAGCGGGGAAGAAAGAAGACGGUACCCGACCAAGAAGCCCCGGCUAACUACGUGCCAGCAGCCGCGGUAAUACGUAGGGGGCAAGCGUUAUCCGGAUUCACUGGGUGUAAAGGGAGCGUAGACGGCGACGCAAGUCUGGAGUGAAAGCCCGGGGCCCAACCCCGGGACUGCUCUGGAAACUGCGUCGCUGGAGUACGGGAGGGGCAGGCGGAAUUCCUGGUGUAGCGGUGAAAUGCGUAGAUAUUAGGAGGAACACCAGUGGCGAAGGCGGCUUACUGGACUGUAACUGACGUUGAGGCUCGAAAGCGUGGGGAGCAAACAGGAUUAGAUACCCGCGUAGU
RNAcentral lists this ribosomal RNA (448 nucleotides) under uncultured bacterium. RNAcentral's name for it is "bacterial SSU rRNA". It matches the Rfam family "Bacterial small subunit ribosomal RNA", at positions 330 to 794 of the family's 1533-position model. The record is from RNAcentral.